RNAcentral lists this ribosomal RNA (253 nucleotides) under uncultured bacterium. RNAcentral's name for it is "partial 16S ribosomal RNA". It matches the Rfam family "Bacterial small subunit ribosomal RNA", at positions 524 to 776 of the family's 1533-position model. The record is from RNAcentral.
UACGUAGGGUGCAAGCGUUGUCCGGAAUUAUUGGGCGUAAAGAGCUCGUAGGCGGCUUGUCGCGUCGUCCGUGAAAACCUGCGGCUCAACUGCAGGCUGGCGGUCGAUACGGGCAGGCUGGAGUUCGGUAGGGGAGACUGGAAUUCCUGGUGUAGCGGUGAAAUGCGCAGAUAUCAGGAGGAACACCGGUGGCGAAGGCGGGUCUCUGGGCCGAUACUGACGCUGAGGAGCGAAAGCGUGGGGAGCGAACAGG